Amblyraja radiata (thorny skate) is the source of this 359-nucleotide long non-coding RNA. RefSeq lists it as uncharacterized. The record is from RefSeq and is a predicted model, not a curated record. The transcript is spliced from 3 exons. NCBI's taxonomy places the organism in Eukaryota, Metazoa, Chordata, Chondrichthyes, Rajiformes, Rajidae.
GGGAUGUACACAGCUACAUUGGACGUUGAGGCGGGGCCCGUCUGUGGGGCUGGGGCUCCCGCAGGCUGCCUCGCUGUUCUAGACAGUCUCUGAGGUCAGGUUCAAAACUCCUUUCUAAGAUCCUCCAUUCUGAUUAUAAAUUUAUCACCCAAAUUUUUCUUCUUCCGGAUUAAGGCUCUGGCGACCGCCUCCUGCACACGAUCAGUUGGUUCACCCUCCAGCUUGCAGAGACCACUUGCCGAACUCUUCCCAACUGGGCAACGAUUUUCCAGUUUCGCUAUCACUGUAGCUUCAUCAGGGAAAGAGAUCUACUUCUAUCCGGGUUUAGGAGCCGUUGCUGUGGACGGAGAGGUGGGGAC